RNAcentral lists this ribosomal RNA (497 nucleotides) under uncultured bacterium. RNAcentral describes it as "partial 16S ribosomal RNA". It matches the Rfam family "Bacterial small subunit ribosomal RNA", at positions 28 to 507 of the family's 1533-position model. The record is from RNAcentral.
GAUGAACGCUGGCGGCGUGCCUAAUACAUGCAAGUCGAGCGAACGGACGAGAAGCUUGCUUCUCUGAUGUUAGCGGCGGACGGGUGAGUAACACGUGGAUAACCUACCUAUAAGACUGGGAUAACUUCGGGAAACCGGAGCUAAUACCGGAUAAUAUUUUGAACCGCAUGGUUCAAAAGUGAAAGCCGGUCUUGCUGUCACUUAUAGAUGGAUCCGCGCUGCAUUAGCUAGUUGGUAAGGUAACGGCUUACCAAGGCAACGAUGCAUAGCCGACCUGAGAGGGUGAUCGGCCACACUGGAACUGAGACACGGUCCAGACUCCUACGGGAGGCAGCAGUAGGGAAUCUUCCGCAAUGGGCGAAAGCCUGACGGAGCAACGCCGCGUGAGUGAUGAAGGUCUUCGGAUCGUAAAACUCUGUUAGUAGGGAAGAACAUAUGUGUAAGUAACUGUGCACAUCUUGACGGUACCUAAUCAGAAAGCCACGGCUAACUACGUG